RNAcentral lists this ribosomal RNA (372 nucleotides) under uncultured Streptococcus sp. RNAcentral's name for it is "bacterial SSU rRNA". It matches the Rfam family "Bacterial small subunit ribosomal RNA", at positions 1012 to 1382 of the family's 1533-position model. Lineage: Bacteria; Bacillati; Bacillota; Bacilli; Lactobacillales; Streptococcaceae. The record is from RNAcentral.
UUCCCCCUUCGGGGGGACAGGGUGACAGGUGGUGCAUGGUUGUCGUCAGCUCGUGUCGUGAGAUGUUGGGUUAAGUCCCCGCAACGAGCGCAACCCUCGACCUUAGUUGCCAGCAUUCAGUUGGGCACUCUAAGGUGACUGCCGGCUAAAAGUCGGAGGAAGGUGGGGAUGACGUCAAAUCAUCAUGCCCCUUAUGACCUGGGCUACACACGUGCUACAAUGGUUGGUACAACGAGUUGCGAGUCGGUGACGGCGAGCUAAUCUCUUAAAGCCAAUCUCAGUUCGGAUUGUAGGCUGCAACUCGCCUACAUGAAGUCGGAAUCGCUAGUAAUCGCGGAUCAGCACGCCGCGGUGAAUACGUUCCCGGGCCUU